RNAcentral lists this ribosomal RNA (588 nucleotides) under Ogataea sp. Af116-2-2. Its description in RNAcentral is "partial 28S ribosomal RNA". It matches the Rfam family "Eukaryotic large subunit ribosomal RNA", at positions 39 to 648 of the family's 3401-position model. Lineage: Eukaryota; Fungi; Ascomycota; Pichiomycetes; Pichiales; Pichiaceae. The record is from RNAcentral.
CAUAUCAAUAAGCGGAGGAAAAGAAACCAACAGGGAUUGCCUUAGUAGCGGCGAGUGAAGCGGCAAGAGCUCAAAUUUGAAAUCUGGUACCUUCGGUGCCCGAGUUGUAAUUUGAAGAAAGCAAUCUUUGAUUUGGCCCUUGUCUAUGUUCCUUGGAACAGGACGUCAUAGAGGGUGAGAAUCCCGUGCGAUGAGGUGUCCAUUUCUUUGUAAGAUGUUUUCGAAGAGUCGAGUUGUUUGGGAAUGCAGCUCAAAGUGGGUGGUAAAUUCCAUCUAAAGCUAAAUAUUGGCGAGAGACCGAUAGCGAACAAGUACUGUGAAGGAAAGAUGAAAAGAACUUUGAAAAGAGAGUGAAAAAGUACGUGAAAUUGUUGAAAGGGAAGGGUAUUUGAUCAGACUUGGUAUUUAGUUAUCAUUGCUUCUUUGGAGUGGUGCUCUAACUUUUUACUGGGCCAGCAUCAGUUUUGGUGGCAAGAUAAUGACAGUUGAAUGUGGCUCCUCGGAGUGUUAUAGCUUCUGUAGAUAUUGCCUACCGGGACUGAGGUCUGCGGCUUUGCCUAGGAUGCUGGCGUAAUGAUCUAAUACCGC